Long non-coding RNA from Capsicum annuum, 704 nucleotides. RefSeq lists it as uncharacterized. Lineage: Eukaryota; Viridiplantae; Streptophyta; Magnoliopsida; Solanales; Solanaceae. The record is from RefSeq and is a predicted model, not a curated record. The transcript has 2 exons.
UAUUAGAUUAGAGUACUUUUUUUUUGUUUAAUAUUGGUAUUUUAUUAAUAAAUCAACAAAAUUUAAUCACAAAUGGACCAACCCAUAUAAACAAGACAGACUAGAACUAUUCCACUGACCUGGCCCAGCCUGAUCUAAUUUAAAUACAUAUAACCUAGUAGGGCUUCUAAAUUAGUGCUAAGUUUCCUAAUCUUCAUCUCUUUCACGCCUCUCUCUGAAAUGACGAUCUCCUUCACCAACUUUAGCUUUUGUUGACUGAUGCUUUGGGUGGUCACUAUUGUGCCUCUAUUAUCAUGGCUUCCUUGUGAUAUCAGUUUGCAGAAAUAUGGUAGGGAAGAAGAUAUUGGGAUGCUUGGACCCAUGAUUAUUCGGUUACCAUCCUCAUUCCCAAGUUUAUCAAGCUCAAAAUGACCCAUAGACCCUCCCAUGAUGCUAAGAUUUUUUUUGUUGGUUGAAGUAACUUAGGCUAGUUAGUACAUGCACUCUUUUUUAUGCUUCUAUGGAAUGUACAUAUGUUGCAUGUAAACUAUUCAGCUGUUACCUCCCCUGCCCCUUUAUACUUUUGAUGGUGUAACUCUCAACUAUGGACACUGCUAUUAAUCACUAUUUAGGAUGCCUUUUCCUAUUUUCUCUAGCUGAUGAAAGCUUGUAAUAGUGAAAACUCUUAUAUCUAUUGCUAAGUUUUCAAAAUAGUUAGCUAACUA